AACGAACGCUGGCGGCAUGCCUAACACAUGCAAGUCGAACGGGUACCUCCGGGUGCUAGUGGCGCACGGGUGCGUAACGCGUGGGAAUCUGCCCUUGGGUUCGGAAUAACUCAGCGAAAGCUGUGCUAAUACCGGAUGAUGUCGAAAGACCAAAGAUUUAUCGCCCGAGGAUGAGCCCGCGUUGGAUUAGCUAGUUGGUGGGGUAAAGGCCUACCAAGGCGACGAUCCAUAGCUGGUCUGAGAGGAUGAUCAGCCACACUGGGACUGAGACACGGCCCAGACUCCUACGGGAGGCAGCAGUGGGGAAUAUUGGACAAUGGGCGAAAGCCUGAUCCAGCAAUGCCGCGUGAGUGAUGAAGGCCUUAGGGUUGUAAAGCUCUUUUACCCGGGAUGAUAAUGACAGUACCGGGAGAAUAAGCUCCGGCUAACUCCGUG
Molecule: ribosomal RNA, 435 nt
Filed under: uncultured bacterium
Lineage: Bacteria
Description: partial 16S ribosomal RNA
Rfam family: Bacterial small subunit ribosomal RNA
Source: RNAcentral